UGACUCAGGUGAUGAAACCUGUGUCACUAGCCUUGUAUGUUCUCUUCCUGAGACAGGUGAGGCCCUUUGUGGAUUUUUGAAGCUACAGCAUGUACAUUCAAUAAGACCUCUGCGAUUUCCCCAAAUGUGGGAAACUCGAUCGCAUAAUUUGUGGUAGUGAGGGACUGCGUUCACGCUCUUUCCUG
Molecule: small nuclear RNA, 185 nt
Filed under: Oryctolagus cuniculus (rabbit)
Lineage: Eukaryota; Metazoa; Chordata; Mammalia; Lagomorpha; Leporidae
Description: U1 spliceosomal RNA (ENSOCUG00000028455.1)
Rfam family: U1 spliceosomal RNA
About the family: U1 is a small nuclear RNA (snRNA) component of the spliceosome (involved in pre-mRNA splicing). Its 5' end forms complementary base pairs with the 5' splice junction, thus defining the 5' donor site of an intron.
Source: RNAcentral